UGAACUGCAGCUGGGGGGUGACCGUGGAAGAGGAACUUUGACUGUUGUCUUUGUUUGUUCCAGGAUUCCAGCCCAGGGUCUCAGCACCCCCAGCUUCCGAGGAGCCCCAGGAUGGAAUCUUAUACACUCAUCUGGAUUUUGAUUUGCGGAGUCGUGACAGGAGCACGAUGCAGUGAUCGGCCAGAGGGAAAAGCAUAAAACCCUGAAUUGUCUAGUCCAGGGGAAUCUGCAAGCGAAAUAAAAAGUCAGAAGACCCCCACAGAGUCCAGCCUCAUCAG
Long non-coding RNA from Caretta caretta (loggerhead turtle), 278 nucleotides. RefSeq lists it as uncharacterized. The record is from RefSeq and is a predicted model, not a curated record. NCBI's taxonomy places the organism in Eukaryota, Metazoa, Chordata, Testudines, Cheloniidae.